AUGUCGCCGCCGGCACCGGCGCUGCUGGACGAGCUCCUCGAGGAGAUCUUCCUCCGCCUUCCGCCGGACGAGCCCGAGCACCUCGUGCGCGCCUCCCUCUCCAGCAAGCGCUGGCUCGGCCUCCUCUCCGGCGCUCGAUUCCGCGGCCGCUACCGCGAGCACCACCGAGCUCCCCCCAUGCUGGGCUUCCUUUAUUCCUUCCACUUCAACUCCAGCGCGGAGACGAAAGAUAACAUCCCACACUUUCUCCCCACCACCAAAUUUCGUGCGUGCAUCCCCGACGACGACUGGUUGGGCUACAGUGCGUUGGACUGCCGUCAUGGCCGCGUUCUCAUUGGCGAAGUGGCCUAUCGACCCAUGACGGGCUGCCGGCGGGAGCUGGAGGCGCCCGCCCUGGGUGGACGACAGUUAUGGGGUCGCGGUGCUCUGCGCCGUGGCCGGCUGUGA
This 447-nucleotide ribosomal RNA is filed under the name Triticum aestivum (bread wheat). Its description in RNAcentral is "partial small subunit ribosomal RNA". The record is from RNAcentral. Lineage: Eukaryota; Viridiplantae; Streptophyta; Magnoliopsida; Poales; Poaceae.